AAGAAAACACUGCUGUUAAAAUAUUCCUCCUUCAUAUGUUGAUGUGACAAUGCAGAAAUUGGUCAAACUUGCUAUUUUCUUCACUGUUCAUGUUUUGGUGUGCCGGGCAUCAGACAAUGUUGAACAACCUUCAGGACAAAUGGCUGCAAAUGAAGCAGAUUCAGUUCAUCUACAGUGCAAUUACUCUACAACUUUCACAAAUGCUUAUCUGUUCUGGUACAAACAACUGCCGAACAGACCACCGACUUUCAUCCUGAGUGAAUUUACCAUUGGUGAAGGAACUACUGAGGAUGAAUUUAAAGGGAGAUUUUCAGCAACACUGAAUUCAGCAUUAAAAUCUGUUCCUCUGCUGAUCCAGGAUCUGCGAGUGUCAGACUCUGCUGUGUAUUACUGUGCUCUGAGGCCCACAGAUGCCGUUCACCAGAAGAGAGUUGAAACUGCUGUUGAAGGCACCGAUUUAUUCAUCAGUUGCUCGUAUACAAGCACUGACCCAAUACCAACGCUCUUCUGGUACCAGCAAAAAGUAAAUGGGUUCCCCAAGUACAUGCUGUCUACUUUUGAAAGCAAAGACAACGAGUUCAAGAAGAGAUUUAAUGCAAGACUGAACACAUCUUCAACUUCAGCUCCUCUGCUGAUCCAGGAUUUGCGAGUAUCAGACUCUGCGGUGUAUUACUGUGCUCUGAGGCCCACAGUGACUUAA
This is a non-coding RNA of Danio aesculapii, 700 nucleotides long. NCBI's taxonomy places the organism in Eukaryota, Metazoa, Chordata, Actinopteri, Cypriniformes, Danionidae. The record is from the annotation of a RefSeq genome assembly.